Molecule: ribosomal RNA, 655 nt
Filed under: Acinetobacter baumannii Naval-81
Lineage: Bacteria; Pseudomonadati; Pseudomonadota; Gammaproteobacteria; Moraxellales; Moraxellaceae
Description: bacterial SSU rRNA
Rfam family: Bacterial small subunit ribosomal RNA
Source: RNAcentral
AUUGAACGCUGGCGGCAGGCUUAACACAUGCAGGUCGAGCGGGGGGAGGUAGCUUGCUACCGGACCUAGCGGCGGACGGGUGAGUAAUGCUUAGGAAUCUGCCUAUUAGUGGGGGACAACAUCUCGAAAGGGAUGCUAAUACCGCAUACGUCCUACGGGAGAAAGCAGGGGAUCUUCGGACCUUGCGCUAAUAGAUGAGCCUAAGUCGGAUUAGCUAGUUGGUGGGGUAAAGGCCUACCAAGGCGACGAUCUGUAGCGGGUCUGAGAGGAUGAUCCGCCACACUGGGACUGAGACACGGCCCAGACUCCUACGGGAGGCAGCAGUGGGGAAUAUUGGACAAUGGGGGGAACCCUGAUCCAGCCAUGCCGCGUGUGUGAAGAAGGCCUUAUGGUUGUAAAGCACUUUAAGCGAGGAGGAGGCUACUUUAGUUAAUACCUAGAGAUAGUGGACGUUACUCGCAGAAUAAGCACCGGCUAACUCUGUGCCAGCAGCCGCGGUAAUACAGAGGGUGCGAGCGUUAAUCGGAUUUACUGGGCGUAAAGCGUGCGUAGGCGGCUUAUUAAGUCGGAUGUGAAAUCCCCGAGCUUAACUUGGGAAUUGCAUUCGAUACUGGUGAGCUAGAGUAUGGGAGAGGAUGGUAGAAUUCCAGGUGUA